CCUCAGUGUUCUACAGCAGUUACACACAGGCAGUGGUAUCUGUGAGCAGCUCUGUGGACUCAAAGGUUUUCUCCCUGAGAGGCAUAACCCAGGCCAGCUGAUUCAUCAGAAUCAGACGAUUGGCUCUUUCGUCCUCAUGGUGGCUUCGUAGAGUGGGUGCUGUUCCCAAAUGUACCCAUUCGACAGAUGAGACGUCUGGGGUCAGAGAGGCAGGAACCGGCCUGGGAAUCCAGACGUGACCCUGAGUUUUGCUCUCAGCCCUGCCGUGUGCUGUGCUGGAAUUCAGGCCUGAACCCUGUGACCUCCCUGCCCUAGAUCCCAAAUCUGCCCAGGUUUCCGAUCCCCAUGGGGCAGAGCCUGGUCCUGGCAGAGCCACUGGUAUAGAGCCACUGUGGGUGGGGUGAAUAGGACGGUCCUCAGAACACCUCUGAGCCACUGGUAUAGGUCCACUGUGGGUGGGGUGAAUAGGACGGUCCUCAGAACACCUCUGUGCCCUAAGCUGGGUCCUGAUGGUCGCUGUGGGCCCCACUGAACACACAUGGUCCCUUGUCUGGGGGAGCCUGCUGCCCUUGGGCAGCUGUGGAAAAUGAAGGAGCCCUGGAGGGCUGGCUGAGGGGAGACUAUCUUCCCUUCUGUUCAAAGGGGUCCAGGCACUAGGGUUCUCCCCAGGUAUUUCUUGCUCUGUGUGGUCCUCUCCAGGCCUCGCCCUCCUUUUGCCCCGAGCAUUCCCAGGAGGGACGGUCCAUCCAGGUGUUCUCCAGGACCAAGGACCCACUGUUCUUCCUCAGUGACCCAGGAAAAUGAAGCCUCCUCCUCUAGGGACAGCUCAGAAUGGUGGACUCCAUAGUCCCUCUGCGAGAGAUGUGGUUUCCAUGAGUACAAUAGAUCUUUUUCAUCCCCAAACCGAACACCCUCCUGCUCAACAGGCGUUAUUCCUAAAGUGGAUUCACUGUUCAGACUGAAGGGCCAUGGUAGCCAAAGUGAUGAGCAGAGUAGAACCGAGCAGUCAGGAGAGAUCUUGUUCCCUGUAGGAAACGGGGCAUCCCUGUGGCCCUGAGCAUCCCAGGAGGCCGAGUGUACAGAGACCUCUGGUCGCUGACCCCAGUCUGCCUCCACAUCCCUGGAACAGCCCAUCAUGGGCCCUUCACCCUUGGCAGGUGGAAACCAUUCAACCUGCUGGGGCAGGUGUACCCCCAUUUCAUGGCAUUUGGGGACAACAGGAUUCUCUGUCUAGGUCCCACUGUACUCAAGUCCUUUGGAAGAUGCCCACCCCUGCUUGAGACUUGAGACUCCAGAGACUCGAGCAGCUGUGGGCCACUGGGUCUGGCCCCUUUUUACCUGGCGGUGGCAGUGGAAUGGGGGUUACGCAGCCAGCCAGCAUCUGGGAGCCCGGCAGGAGUGGUUCAGGUGUUCUCCGAAGCUGUCAGGUACAGUGUAACCUUUAGAGAAUUUUGUCUCACAGGAUGGACAUGGUAGAGGGGUAGAGGACGCGGACAGUUGGUGGGCACAAGAGCGAGAGGACAUCAUUUUGAAAUACGAAAAGGGACACCGAGCUGGGCUGCCAGAGGACAAGGGGCCUGAGCCUGUUGGAAUCUGCAGCGGCACUGAUCACUUUGGGAUUCUGCAGGUCUUGCUCUGUCACCCAGCCUGGCGUGCAGUGGUACAAACGGCUCACUGCAGCCUCUACCUCCUGGGAUCAAGCAAUCCUCCAGCUUCAGCCUCCUGAGUAGCUGAGACGACAGCUGCUCACCGCCAUGUCCAGCAAAUUUUUUUAUUUUUUGUAAAGAUAUGGUUUUACCAUGUUGGUCAGGCUGGUCUUGAACUCUUGGGCUCACGCGAUCCACCUGCCUCAGCUCCUAAAGUGCUGGGAUUACAGGUCUGAGCCAUGGUGUCUGGUCACACUCAUGGGAUUUAAUUGCCCUUGGAAUCAACAUUGUGCAGGAAAGGAGUAGGAUUGAGCAGAAAAAGUUGAACUAAAUGUAGUCACAGCAAAUGCCUCAGCUUCUGGAUCCUAAGGGAGCUCUGGAGCCAGGAGAGCCCUUCAGAGCAGCCCCACCCUGAGCCCUGCAUCUGCCAGUCAGUGCAGACGGACCUGGUCUAACUCUGAUGCCCGGGCUGGAGUGCUGGAAUGCAAUGACACCAUCACAGCUCACUGUAGCCUUGACCUCCUGGGCUCAAGUGAUUCUCCCACUUCAGCUUCCCAAGUAACUGGAACCACAGGCACAUGCCACCACGCCCAGCUAAUUAAAAAAAAAAAAAAAAUCUGUAGAGAUGAGGUUUCACCAUGUUGCCCAGGAUGGUCUGGAACUCCUGGGCUCAAGUGAUCCACCCACCUUGGCCUCCCAAAGUGCUGAGAUGACAGGCAUGAGCCACGGCUCCCAGCUUGGAACAAAACUCUCGAAGAAAAAAUUGGCAGAGCUUGUUGCCUGACCAAAAAACAGAAGCUGAAUGAGAGAGAUGCAUUUAAAACAAUACGAAACACUAAGGGUUUCCUGAAUACUGUUGGACAGUGCAAAAUGGGGGAAGUUAGGAUACAAAUCUAAUUCUGUUCUACUGUAAGGCUCAUGCCUUUUCACUAGACUAGUGCUGGUCCAACUGGUGUUCCAUGGGCUACAUUCAGACAGCAGACGUAUUUUGUUUGGCUGCACAGCAUUUAAAAAAUGUAAAUUGGCUGCCACUAUGUAAAAAUUGGAAGAGUUUAUAUGUAAGUUCAGAUCUCUAGCUUCUCUUGAGUAACUAGAAGAUCUAGCAACACUGGGUCAACAUUCUUGCAUGGCAGUAACUGCAGUUGAGUGACAGAUACUCUUUAAAUGGAGAGAGUAUCUCUUAUCUGGAUAAAUGGAGGUGGGUAUAUGCUCCUUAAUUCACCACAGUCUCUAUGCAUUACCUUCUUUGGCAUUUUUUUUUUUUUUUGAGGUGGAGUCACUCUGUCGCCCAGGCUGGAGUGCAGCAGCACAAUCUCGGCUCACUGAAACCUCAGCCUCCUGGGUUCAAGCAAUUCUCCUGCCUCAGCCACCCUAAAGCUGGAGUCUCACUAUGUUGCCCAGGCUGGUCUUGAACUUCUAGGCUCAAGCAAUCCUCCCACCUCGGCCUCUAAAAGUGCUGGCAUUAUAGGUGUGAGCCACCACGACCGGCCCAUUUGGACACUUAAUACUGGUUCAGCAGAACUGAAUGAAUUUAACUGGAGAGGAAGUUGGGGUGAAGUCUAGGCCUCUGACUGUAAUGAGAGGUUUGGCACUGAGGGGAGGCAACAGAACAGGGAGUACAAAUUAGGAUGAAUUAAUGACAUGCUGGCAGGAGCUUGAGUAAAGGAAGAAGAGCACCGGGCCAGGGCCUGAAGUUUGGGUGUCUUACCACAGAGCUAAAGAAGAGUGGGCAAUGGUAGAAUAAACUAGAGAAGAAGAGGAGAGAAAGGCACAGAGGAACUUCAGCAAUGGAAUGCCAGGGAAGGCAAGGGAGCUGAGGGUUUGGGCAGUUGCGUCCAGUGUAGGGAAGAAGAUCAGGGAGAUAGACAGGCAAAAAGCCAUGCAACAAGGAAGUAGUUAGGGACUUUCAGAGGAAGUUUGAGAAAAGGAGAGGAAGGUCAUGGGUCUGAAGUUUAGCAGUGCAGUAGGGGCACUGGAAUACUAUCUUGGGGCAUAGUCAUCAUUCUGACAUCAUCUAAAAGAAAUUAGUACCUGCAUUGCAUCCUUAAAGAAGAAGGGACCAAAAACAUGUCCAAACUGUCUGUCUGUUCUAGUGGAAUAAAACAUUACUUUAAUAUGUAUUUUGGACAACCACCAACCUACAGAUUGGAAACUUUUCUCAAGGAUAUAUCUCUCUGUAUGUGGGCUAUUGGCUUUGUGGAUUUUCUGUAGUAAAAUUAAAAUUCUAGUUUGUUCUCCCUUAUCACCCAGUGUCUUUCUGUGUGGCCUAACUGGCUGAUUAGUGCAUGCUUGGAAUGUGUAAAUUCAUUUUAACACUGGCCUAGGGGCCUGUGUGGUAGCGCACCCCUGUCAUCCCAGCACUUUGGCAGGCCAAAGCGGGGGGAUCACUUGAGGCCAGGAGUUCCAGACCAGCCUGGGCAACAUAGCAAGG
Long non-coding RNA from Pongo pygmaeus (Bornean orangutan), 4077 nucleotides. RefSeq lists it as uncharacterized. The record is from RefSeq and is a predicted model, not a curated record. NCBI's taxonomy places the organism in Eukaryota, Metazoa, Chordata, Mammalia, Primates, Hominidae. The transcript has 7 exons.